CAAUAGCGUAUAUUAAAGUUGUUGCGGUAAAAAAGCUCGUAGUUGGAUUUCUGUUGAGAGCGACCGGUCCAUACCAUGUAUGCGUAUCUGGCUUGCUCUCGGCAUCCUCUCGAUAGACGUUACUGCGCUUGAUUGCGUGGUGCGGAUCUCGGGACUUUUACUUUGAGGAAAUUAGAGUGUUCAAGGCAGGCUUUCGCCAGAAUACAUUAGCAUGGAAUAAUACUAUAGGAUCUUGGUUCUAUUUUGUUGGUUUCUAGAAUUGAGAUAAUGAUUAAUAGGGACAAUUGGGGGCAUUCGUAUCAACACGUCAGAGGUGGAAUUCUUGGAUUGUGUUGCGACGAACUACUGCGAAAGCAUUUGCCAAGGAUGUUUUCAUUGA
RNAcentral lists this ribosomal RNA (379 nucleotides) under uncultured eukaryote. RNAcentral's name for it is "partial 18S ribosomal RNA". It matches the Rfam family "Eukaryotic small subunit ribosomal RNA", at positions 592 to 976 of the family's 1831-position model. The record is from RNAcentral.